GUGGGCCUGGCCACCUACAGCUACCGCAGCCUGCCCUGGCUGCUCCUCAACCGCUCCAGCGACCUGCCCGCCGUGCUGGAGCAGAUCCGCACCAUGCGCUACGAGGAGCCCAGCGGCAACGCCAUCGGUGAGGGGAACGAGCUGGGACCUGACCAGAGGGACCCUUGGGACCUUCCUAACACCCCCACCAUCCUUUUUUUUAUUUUUUUUUUUGUUUUUUUUCCCCCAGGGGCAGCCAUCACCUUCGCCAGAACCUACCUGCUGAGCCCCGGUGCUGGGCGCCGGACCCGGCGUGCCGGCGGUGCUGGUGGUCCUGGCCGACGGCCCCUCGGGGGACGAUGCCAUCGCCGCGGCCAGGGACAGUCAAGGCUGCAGGGUGAGGGGGACGGGGUGCCCUCAGGACGGGGUCCCCACGGGAUGAGGACCCCCAGGGUGCUCCAGGUUCGGGGUGCUGAGGGUGCUGCUGGUGCAGGGGUGCGGGUGCUGGCGGUGGGCUUGGAGGGGGCGGACCGGGAGCAGCUGCGGCGCGUGGUGACGGCCGAGGACCCCCGCUUCGUCUUCCCCCGCCGUGGCGCACUGCAGGAGCUGGAGGGGGAGCUCACCGACGACCUCUGCACCAUCAUCUCCACCAGGCCGGAGCCGGAGCCAAAGCCCUGCGCCGUGCCGUGCCCCAAGGUGAGCGGCCCCUGUGCCAGGGGGGGCUGAGUGGGCACCGGGGGCUCCUCGUCUUGCCCACGCAGUGGGGCUGGCAGAGGGGUGCAGCCCCUCACCCCUUUACUCUGUCCCCUUGCAGGGCGAUAAAGGGGACCCUGGAGAGGCGGUAAGUGUUUCGGGGUACCCCCCUGCAGCUGGGGGGGGCUUCGUGCCCCCAAAUUCUGCCCGUGACAGCCCGCAGGAGGAUGCUGAUCGCUGGAUUUGUCUCCACAGGGGCGGCCGGGGCAGCCAGGCCCUCCUGGAGAGCCGGUAAUGUCCUGCGUGGGGGUGCAGGGGGUCCACAGCAGAGGGGACAAGUGCCCCUCGGCCACCACCUGCCACCAAGCCUGUCUCCUCUGCUGUCCCAGGGCCGCCACGGGCUGCCGGGCCCCCCGGGACCUGUAGGACCACGGGGACCACCAGGAGAGAGCGUCGAGCAGCCAGGAAAGAAGGGGGACAGAGUGAGUGACCCCAUUAAUCCCCAAAGCCUGGGGUCCCCAAACACAGGG
Molecule: long non-coding RNA, 1202 nt
Filed under: Anas platyrhynchos (mallard)
Lineage: Eukaryota; Metazoa; Chordata; Aves; Anseriformes; Anatidae
Description: lncRNA (ENSAPLG00020004120.1)
Source: RNAcentral